Molecule: unclassified non-coding RNA, 1236 nt
Filed under: Amphibalanus amphitrite
Lineage: Eukaryota; Metazoa; Arthropoda; Thecostraca; Balanomorpha; Balanidae
Description: uncharacterized LOC122389306, transcript variant X1
Source: RNAcentral
UUUGACAGCUAAUUCUACAACUUGAUUGUAAAGAAAAUUACAUUGCUAUAAUUUUGUUAAUCUUUCUUUCUAAAAUUGAAAGCAAAUUUUGUGUUUCACAAUAGAACAAUUGUCAUUCUUUUGGUAUCUGUGACAUUAAUCUCCAGAAACCUCCAGAUUGCGUUCCAGCGCCUCCAGUGAAACCUCUGGUAGAGCCUCCAGUCAAGAAUUUCUACUGGAGGCGCUGGAACAGGCCCUUAUUCUCGAUUGCAAUUGUGGAAUUAUUUAUUAAACAGAAGAUGAUCUUUCCGAAAAACCGACUGAUUUCAUACACAGAUGCAUGGAAAAUAAAAAAAUCCCGAGCUGGUGGUGGGCCAGCAGUGCGGCUUGGAGUCGGACUGCUCCAGGAUGAUGCCGGAGACCAGGUGCUCCUCCACGGGUGUGUGCACGUGCAGAGACGGCUACCGACAGACGUCCGACGGCCGCUGUCAGCAGCACGCUCGGCUGGACGAGCCCUGUGUGGAAAACGUGGACUGUCAGACUUUGGUGCCAAACGCGGUUUGUGCAAGCAGCAGAUGCAGUUGCAGCACAGGCUUCUGGAACUAUCAGAAUAAGGAAUGCAGGAGAGUUUCAACGGUGGACAAAGAUGGGCCAUGUGUGGAUGACCGGGAAUGCAGGUCAAACAGUGGUCUCCGGUGCGCAUCGGGGACCUGUUCCUGCAUCACCAAGACGACACAAAAUUAUGAGUAUCGCCUGUUUGGGGGUGCUGACUGCACUGAGGGCAACAUCCAACUGAGACCAAGCGGCGAGCGCUGGGGUGUCGUCUGCGAUGACGAAUGGGAUGUCAGGGACGCUAGUGUGGUGUGUAGAACGCUCGGCUUUGGGUCAGGACUGCCAACCAAAAAAUCCACUUUUGGUAAUGGUACUGGGCUCAAAUUCUACAUGGACGACGUGUCUUGCAGCGGCAGCGAAUCUCACCUGCUUGCCUGCGAUUACCUCGGCUGGGGGGCGCACAACUGCGGAUCGGCGGAGCUCGCCGGUGUCCGCUGUGGCGCCUGAGCGACGCUCGGGACGGCCCGCGACGCUGCCCUGCCAUGUCACGGUGCGCUACGUACCCGCGCUGAUCACUCAACAGCAACGUUGUCCUUUAAUGUAAACACAGCUUUAUGCUGUGUUCACUUCCGAAAAGAGCUUAACCUUAGAACUGAAUAGCUAAGAUGAAAUAAAUUCAGUAAAAUAAAUGUUAUUUUACGAGCA